GUUCUCAGAUGCCAAGACAGAGCAGUACACACAUCCCGACUGUUUUUUGAACCAUAUUUGGUUGCUAUCUUCCUGUGUAAUUCUGUUUGUAGAAGAGGAAAUGAAGGUCUGGAAAGAGAGGGCAAUGUGCCAAGAGCAGAGAUGAUGUAGCCAGCUGUGCCUGACUACCAGUUUUUGUCUGCACUGUUUCCUUGGCAUUGGUUCCAAAUAGCUGAAGCACUAGAAGAGACAUGAUCCAGGAGCACCUACAGAACUGAGGGGAAAGCUUUGGAGAUGCAAAACGACACUGGCAGAACUUCGGCUGUGCUUUCCCCAGUAUGUCUGGACUCCAAACAGCCACUGACCUCUCGUUUUAAUUUCAAAUCCCCAGAAGCCUGCAACAGAAACCGUGGGAGCCGGGCAGUGCCACCUGUCCAUACAGCCCAACGCUUGUGUCACCUGCCUUGAAAGUUGGCUGACUUUGUCUGCGUGCUGUCAACCACUGGUAGGGUUUCCUGAGGAACUGCUCUGAUGGAUGGAGUCGGUCCAAGAUGAGCCUUCCAUUCUGCCUUUCCUGAGUGUUUCUUUUCUUUUCCCCUCCCCAUCACAAAGGGGAGAUCCAGUUGUUGUGUUUCUGGUUUCUGGGAUUGCCGUGCCAGAAGGUUCCAUAGCUGCAUCGCCGACAGAAUUCGAGCACCCACCGGCAGGCUUCUACUUCCGGCUGCAUUGUUCUUACCAAUUACCGGAGCGGCCUCGGGUCUCUCCUCGUUAAUUGCCGCGAGCAGGGAAGCUUUACCCAGUGCACAGCGUACCCAAGCAUGUAUGGAGUUUAAUGAGUCAUACUAACUCUGCACUCUAAGCAAUUAGGUAAAUCUAGCUGUUAGUUAGUGAGGCAUAAAAUAAAUUUAAUCUCUCUUCUAAAAAAUCAAUUA
Apodemus sylvaticus (European woodmouse) is the source of this 911-nucleotide long non-coding RNA. RefSeq lists it as uncharacterized. The transcript has 4 exons. NCBI's taxonomy places the organism in Eukaryota, Metazoa, Chordata, Mammalia, Rodentia, Muridae. The record is from RefSeq and is a predicted model, not a curated record.